This is a long non-coding RNA of Oreochromis aureus, 260 nucleotides long. RefSeq lists it as uncharacterized. The record is from RefSeq and is a predicted model, not a curated record. The transcript has 4 exons. NCBI's taxonomy places the organism in Eukaryota, Metazoa, Chordata, Actinopteri, Cichliformes, Cichlidae.
AGGACUUUAUACAUGUAGCAUAAUAGACAAAAGUGGCCUAAACAGCAUUACAUGGAAUUUAACUGUGUCUGAGAGUCCCAAAGAAUCCACUUCAUCAAAGACUUUUCUAUACAUACUCCCACCUGCAAUUGGAUUCCUUCUAUGUGGCACCAUGCUAGCCAUCUGCUUCUGUAGAAAAGUUACAAUGAGGACACCAAAUCUGGAUCCAGUCAAAAAUAGUCCUCAGUCAGGAGAAGAGGCAGCUCUCCCUCAACCACAAG